Molecule: transfer RNA, 87 nt
Filed under: Candidatus Moraniibacteriota bacterium
Lineage: Bacteria; Candidatus Moraniibacteriota
Description: tRNA-Ser
Rfam family: tRNA
About the family: Transfer RNA (tRNA) molecules are approximately 80 nucleotides in length.
Source: RNAcentral
GGAGAGGUCGCAUAGUGGUCGAGUGCACCGCCUUGGAAAGGCGGCAUACUGUCACAGGUAUCGAGGGUUCGAAUCCCUCCCUCUCCG